This 498-nucleotide ribosomal RNA is filed under the name uncultured bacterium. Its description in RNAcentral is "partial 16S ribosomal RNA". It matches the Rfam family "Bacterial small subunit ribosomal RNA", at positions 28 to 507 of the family's 1533-position model. The record is from RNAcentral.
GAUGAACGCUGGCGGCGUGCCUAAUACAUGCAAGUCGAGCGAACUUUUGGGAGCUUCCUCCCAAAAGUUAGCGGCGCACGUGUGUGUAACACGUGAGUAACCUUCCUGUAAGACUGGAAUAACUUCGGAAAACCGCUGCUAAUACCGGCUAACAUUGAAAACCACAUGGCCUUCAAUUAAACUCUCGCUUUCAGCUACCACUUACAGAGGGACCCGCGGCGCAUUAGCUAGUUGGUGAGGUAACGGCUCACCAAGGCGACGAUGCGUAGCCGAGCUGAGAAGGUGGUCGAGCACACUGGGACCUAGGCACGGGUCAGGAUCCUACGGGAGGGAGCAGUAGGGGAUCUUUCGCAAUGGGGGAAAGGCUGACGGAGCAAAGGCGGGGGGGGGAAGGAGGGUUUCGGGUCGUAAAACUAUGUUGUGAGGGAAGAACAAGUAUCGAGCGAAUAGGGCGGUAUCUUGACGGUACCUAAAGAGAAAGCAACGGCUAACUACGUG